Molecule: ribosomal RNA, 253 nt
Filed under: uncultured bacterium
Lineage: Bacteria
Description: partial 16S ribosomal RNA
Rfam family: Bacterial small subunit ribosomal RNA
Source: RNAcentral
UACAGAGGGGGCAAGCGUUAUUCGGAAUUAUUGGGCGUAAAGGGCGCGUAGGCGGCUUGGCAAGUGGAUGGUGAAAUCCCUCGGCUUAACCGAGGAACUGCCGUCCAAACUGCUUCGCUUGAGACCGGGAGAGGUGAGUGGAAUUCCCAGUGUAGCAGUGAAAUGCGUAGAUAUUGGGAGGAACACCAGUGGCGAAGGCGGCUCACUGGACCGGUACUGACGCUGAUGCGCGAAAGCGUGGGGAGCAAACGGG